AGGGCGUACGGUGGAUGCCUUGGCGAUAUCAGCCGAAGAAGGACGCGGUAAGCUGCGAUAAGCUACGGAGAGGUGCAAGCAACCUUUGACCCGUAGAUUUCCGAAUGGGGGAACCCGGCAGUGGUUAUGCACUGUCACCCAUACCUUUGAGUAUGAGGAGGGCACCUGGGGAACUGAAACAUCUAAUUACCCAGAGGAAGAGUAAUCAAACGAGAUUUUCUUAGUAGCGGCGAGCGAACGGGAAAGAGGCCAAACCGGAGCGGGCAACCGCACCGGGGUUGAGGACAGUCAUCAAGUGUAAAUGAGGUAGAAGAAUCGAGUUGGAAAGCUCAGCCGUAGAAGGUGAAAGCCCUGUAAUCGAAACCUUGCAUACAUGGGACUGUAUCCAGAGUACCACGAGACACGUGAAACCUUGUGGGAAGCAGGGGGGACCACCCUCCAAGCCAAAAUACUGAUAUCGACCGAUAGCGCAUAGUACCGUGAGGGAAAGGUGAAAAGAACCCCUGGCGGGGAGUGAAAGAGAACCUGAAACCGUAUGUCUACAAACAGUCGAAGUCUGUAUAUAUAUCAGGACGACGGCGUGCCUAUUGAAGAAUGAACCGACGAGUUACUGUUGCUAGCGAGGUUAAGUGGAACACAUGGAGCCGCAGCGAAAGCGAGUCUGAACAGGGCGUUCAGUUAGUGAUAGUAGACCCGAAACCGUAGUGAUCUAUCCAUGGCCAGGUUGAAGCACAGGUAAAAUUGUGUGGAGGACCGAACUCGUGAGCGUUGAAAAGCUUUGGGAUGAGUUGUGGAUAGGGGUGAAAUGCCAAUCGAACACGGAGAUAGCUGGUUCUCCCCGAAAUAGCUUUAGGGCUAGCCUCGAGGUUGAGAGUAUAGGCGGUAGAGCACUGAUCGGGCUAGGGGCCAUACCGGUUACCGAACCUAGUCAAACUACGAAUGGCUAUACUUAUACUCGGGAGUCAGACAGUGAAUGAUAAGGUCCAUUGUCAAGAGGGAAACAGCCCAGAACACCGACUAAGGUCCCCAAUGUUACACUAAGUGGCGAAGGAUGUGGAAUUUCCAAAACAACCAGGAUGUUGGCUUAGAAGCAGCCACCAUUUAAAGAGUGCGUAAUAGCUCACUGGUCGAGAGACUCUGCGCCGAAAAUGUCCGGGGCUAAAGUGUAAAACCGAAGUCGUGUCAUAUGCAGCAAUGUAUAUGGGUAGGGGAGCGUUCUCAUCGGGCUGAAGCAGUACCGUAAGGAGUUGUGGACUGAUGAGAAGUGAGAAUGUCGGUAUGAGUAGCGAAAAGAAUGGUGAGAAUCCAUUCCACCGAAAGCCUAAGGGUUCCUGAGCAACGAUCGUCGUCUCAGGGUAAGUCGGGACCUAAGCCGAGGCGGAAAAGCGUAGGCGAUGGACAACAGGUUGAAAUUCCUGUACCGGUGUGAAUCGUUUGAUCGAUGGAGUGACACAGUAAGGUAGGUCAGCACGCGAUUGGAAGUGCGUGUUUAAGCAGGUAGGUUGAGCUAUAGGCAAAUCCGUAGCUCUAAAAGCUGAGAUGUGAUGACGAGUGACUAGCAAUAGUCGCGAAGUGAUUGAUCCUACACUGUCGAGAAAAGCUUCUAGGUAGAGACACAUCGCCCGUACCAAAACCGACACAGGUAGGCGGGGAGAGAAUCCUAAGGUGCGCGGGAAAACCCUCGUUAAGGAACUCGGCAAAUUGCAUCCGUAACCUAGGGAGAAGGAUGGCCCCCGGUCAGUGAAGAGCAGAAACGCUCAGAGCUAAAAGGGGCGGCAGAAAAGAGGCCCAAGCAACUGUUUACCAAAAACACAGGUGCCUGCGAAAGCGAAAGCUGAAGUAUAGGUGCUGACGCCUGCCCGGUGCCGGAAGGUUAAGGAGAGAAGUUAGCGAAAGCGAAGCAUCGAACUGAAGCCCCGGUGAACGGCGGCCGUAACUAUAACGGUCCUAAGGUAGCGAAAUUCCUUGUCGGGUAAGUUCCGACCCGCACGAAAGGCGUAAUGAUUUGGGCACUGUCUCAACGAGAGACUCGGUGAAAUUUUAGUACCUGUGAAGAUGCAGGUUACCCGCGACAGGACGGAAAGACCCCAUGGAGCUUUACUG
Molecule: ribosomal RNA, 2103 nt
Filed under: human oral metagenome
Description: bacterial LSU rRNA
Rfam family: Bacterial large subunit ribosomal RNA
Source: RNAcentral